CCUCGGGUUGGCCGUUUUCGGCCGAAUUCGGCCACACUUGCAUCGGUCCUUGCGAUAAAACAACCUUAGGGCCCUCGGGGGGCCAAAAAAUUACGAAAAAUCGAAGCUUACCGGCGGCGGUGCUCUCGGAUGCGGCAGCUCUCCGGCGAGGUUCGUGUUUUGGUGAUUUGGCUCCGAUCAACCUGUAGAGAAAAGAAUGGUGAUCACGGUGAUAUAAAAAUUGUAUCAAACGGAGGCCGGGAAGGGCCUCAUCAGAGGUAAAAACUGAGGAGGGGUGCGGCGGCGCCGCAGGGUUUCGGCCGUGUUUUCCGGCCGUUUGGGCGG
RNAcentral lists this long non-coding RNA (324 nucleotides) under Carica papaya (papaya). RNAcentral's name for it is "long non-coding RNA (CPAP_LNC000879)". The record is from RNAcentral. Lineage: Eukaryota; Viridiplantae; Streptophyta; Magnoliopsida; Brassicales; Caricaceae.